AUUGAACGCUGGCGGCAGGCCUAACACAUGCAAGUCGAACGGAAGAGGGCAGCUUGCUCCUGGAGUCAGCGGAGCGCGGGUGAGUAAUGCCUGGGAAUCUGCCUGCGAGUGGGGUAUCACGUCCGGAGACGGGCGCUAAUACCACAUACUUCCUGAGGGAGAAAGUGGGGGCUCUUCGGACCUCACGCUCGCAGCUGAGCCUAGGUCGGAUUAGCUAGUUUGUGGGGUAAAGGCCUACCAAGGCGACGAUGCGUAACUGGUCUGAGAGGAUGAUCAGUCACACUGGAACUGAGACACGGUCCAGACUCCUACGGGAGGCAGCAGUGGGGAAUAUUGGACAAUGGGCGCAAGCCUGAUCCAGCCAUGCCGCGUGUGGGAAGAAGGUCUUCGGAUUGUAAAGUGCUUUAGGUUGGGAGGAAGGGCAGUAAGUUAAUACCGUGCUGUUUUGACGUUACCGACAGAAUAAGCACCGGCUAACUACGUG
RNAcentral lists this ribosomal RNA (484 nucleotides) under uncultured bacterium. Its description in RNAcentral is "partial 16S ribosomal RNA". It matches the Rfam family "Bacterial small subunit ribosomal RNA", at positions 30 to 507 of the family's 1533-position model. The record is from RNAcentral.